CAGUUUUCCCCUCUGAAUUGC
RNAcentral lists this microRNA (21 nucleotides) under Callorhinchus milii (elephant shark). RNAcentral describes it as "eshark_NOVEL_23". Lineage: Eukaryota; Metazoa; Chordata; Chondrichthyes; Chimaeriformes; Callorhinchidae. The record is from RNAcentral.